AAGAAUAAGUUUUGUAAUGUCUUAUUAUUAAUUAUAAGUGGAAAAAUAUAUAUAAAUUUUUUUUAUUUAAAUUUAUUAUUUGAAAUUAAGCGAUUAUUUAUUAUACUUAGUUUUAUUAUUAAAAUUUUGGUUAAAUUUAGUGCCAGCCACCGCGGUUAUACUAAAAAAAUUAAUUAUAUAGAGAAUUGAGUUUUUAUUUCUAUGUAUAACAAAGGCUUAUAAUAGUAAAAUAUUUUAGUUAGCUUAAGUUCUAAAUUAUCACAUAAAAUUGGAUUUGAUACCCAAGUAUAGGUAAUAUUUUCGAAAUUUAAUAGGUUAAAAAUAAUAAUUAGAAAAGUAAAUUGAAAAUUGAAUUACUAGACGGUUUUUUAAACAAUAGGGAAGCUUGCAAAUUAAACUGAUAGUCCUCGUUAUAUUUACCUUUUUAUAUUUGGGUUGUAUAUGUUCGUCUAAUUAAGAGAGUAUCCUUUUUUUUGUUUAAACUCUUAGUAUUAUUGAACUACUAAAGCAAUAAGACAGAUCGACAUGCACCUUUAAAAAGGGUUAAAUGUGAGAAUCAAUUUUUUAUUAUUAUAUUAUAAGUAAGAGUUUUAAAAAGAGAACUUAUUAGUAAUAAGUAAAAUAAAGUUCUUAUGAAAUAACUAUUUAUUUUAAAAAGAGUACUCACCGCCCGCCAAUUAAGCAAUUAAUUAGUAUUAUGUUAAUCAAUUAAUAAGGCGUAACAAGGUAGUUAAUCUAGAAAGAUUAACUAGAUAA
RNAcentral lists this ribosomal RNA (756 nucleotides) under Aplidium conicum. RNAcentral's name for it is "small subunit ribosomal RNA". The record is from RNAcentral. Lineage: Eukaryota; Metazoa; Chordata; Ascidiacea; Aplousobranchia; Polyclinidae.